Molecule: ribosomal RNA, 465 nt
Filed under: Vreelandella stevensii
Lineage: Bacteria; Pseudomonadati; Pseudomonadota; Gammaproteobacteria; Oceanospirillales; Halomonadaceae
Description: partial 16S ribosomal RNA
Rfam family: Bacterial small subunit ribosomal RNA
Source: RNAcentral
CCUACGGGAGGCUGCAGUGGGGAAUAUUGGACAAUGGGCGAAAGCCUGAUCCAGCCAUGCCGCGUGUGUGAAGAAGGCCUUCGGGUUGUAAAGCACUUUCAGUGGGGAAGAAAGCCUUGGGGCUAAUACCCUCGAGGAAGGACAUCACCCACAGAAGAAGCACCGGCUAACUCCGUUCCAGCAGCCGCGGUAAUACGGAGGGUGCGAGCGUUAAUCGGAAUUACUGGGCGUAAAGCGCGCGUAGGCGGUCUGAUAAGCCGGUUGUGAAAGCCCCGGGCUCAACCUGGGAACGGCAUCCGGAACUGUCAGGCUAGAGUGCAGGAGAGGAAGGUAGAAUUCCCGGUGUAGCGGUGAAAUGCGUAGAGAUCGGGAGGAAUACCAGUGGCGAAGGCGGCCUUCUGGACUGACACUGACGCUGAGGUGCGAAAGCGUGGGUAGCAAACAGGAUUAGAUACCCUUGUAGUC